GUGGGCAUAGCUCAGUGGUAGAGCACAUGCUUAGCAUGCGUGAGGUCCUGGGUUCAAUUCCCAGUACCUCCA
This 72-nucleotide transfer RNA is filed under the name Camelus bactrianus (Bactrian camel). It matches the Rfam family "tRNA". Rfam says of the family: Transfer RNA (tRNA) molecules are approximately 80 nucleotides in length. Their secondary structure includes four short double-helical elements and three loops (D, anti-codon, and T loops). The record is from Rfam by way of RNAcentral. Lineage: Eukaryota; Metazoa; Chordata; Mammalia; Artiodactyla; Camelidae. RNAcentral also lists the same sequence under 1 other name.